UUAAAUUGAAGAGUUUGAUCAUGGCUCAGAUUGAACGCUGGCGGCAGGCCUAACACAUGCAAGUCGAGCGGAAACGAGUUAUCUGAACCUUCGGGGGACGAUAACGGCGUCGAGCGGC
Molecule: ribosomal RNA, 118 nt
Filed under: Vibrio parahaemolyticus
Lineage: Bacteria; Pseudomonadati; Pseudomonadota; Gammaproteobacteria; Vibrionales; Vibrionaceae
Description: partial 16S ribosomal RNA
Rfam family: Bacterial small subunit ribosomal RNA
Source: RNAcentral